UCCCUGGUAGCCUAGCAGUUAAGGAUUGGGCAUUGUUGCUGCUGUGAUCCAGGUUCAACCCCUGGCCUGGGAA
Molecule: transfer RNA, 73 nt
Filed under: Sus scrofa (pig)
Lineage: Eukaryota; Metazoa; Chordata; Mammalia; Artiodactyla; Suidae
Rfam family: tRNA
About the family: Transfer RNA (tRNA) molecules are approximately 80 nucleotides in length. Their secondary structure includes four short double-helical elements and three loops (D, anti-codon, and T loops).
Source: Rfam by way of RNAcentral